GCGCUGAGAGCGAGUGAGGGCCACCAGCACGUUGUCACCUCUCAAAACCAUCCCUCUGAAGUCAAGCUGCUUGUCUCUGACAUCAGACCACAGUCUCCAACGUCCAGCUGCUUCUCCUCUUCUCCCCUUCUCUGCUCUCUGCCAGUACGACACAGGUGCUCCCCUUUUGGUCCAGCUUUGGGAAAUUAUCGUGAAUUGGCCUCAGAGUCCUGCCCCCAGACCUUGGUGUUUUCCCUUGAUUCAGCUUUAGGAAGUCGGCAUGAAUUGGGCUUAAGUUCCCUGCCUCCAGACCCUAUUCUCCUGCCUCAGCGGUAAGGAGACUUCUAUGGCGAUGUGCUUCCACCAGAACACAAAAACGGGAGCUGCUGGAGUCUCCUUAAUGCCUGGUCUUGGCUGCCCCCGGAAUGUCACCUCUGCCUCAUUCUACUAUCAAGGUGGUUGCAGGGACAGCCCAGGUUCAAAGGAAGGAGAAGUAGACUCCCCCUCUUUUGACUGGCAAGGGGACAUUGCAAAAAAUCCUGUCGUUUGGGGGGGAUUGUUGUAGUCAUCUUUGGAAACACAAUCUGCAACUUUGAUGUUCAUCAAAGAAAUCUGCUUGAGCUGUGAGCUCAACUGGUAUUCGACUUAAGAAAUCCACAAAAUCGGUUCUGAACUGCAUUUUCAUCUCAGCGUUUGGCCACGGGCAAUGAGAGCUUCAUUCAGAAGAGUCACAAAAUCGUUCUGACUAAGACCAUUUUGUCUAGAUCAGUAAUUUGGGGAUUUGCCUGUCUCAGUGCCAUCAGAAGCAACCACCUAACCCAGAAAUGCUAACAUUCCUCUUCUUUCAGCAGUCACUGACUACCUACAUCCCUCAGCUCCCUCCCCAUCUCACAUCACCCUCAGGGGCCUCUGAGCACAGCAUCACCGAGGGGGCCACAGCAGCAGAACCUCCUACCCAGAUCUCUGUAGGCACUGCCAUCAUGUGACUAAACUCCCCUCUCAACCACAACCUCCAGCUACAGGGCUCUCAUCCAAGUCAAAAAUCCAAAGACAGGCGUCUGGCUGGCUGCAGGAGUCCAGAGCCAUGAGUGUCCCUAAAUUAGUCAACCAUGGCUGGGAGACAGAGCCAUGCAAUCCAGACCCAGCUCUUCUGCUCACUGGGGCCGUUCCCGGAGAAGGAGAAACCACGCUGGAGCGGGCACUCCCACGAGUUGUCGGGGAACAAGAACUCGGAUCCUGGCGGGAGAGAGCGAACAGUACACCCGAGCGGCGGCUGUCACCCGCUUUGAAACACGGGUGCCCUGGAGUCUUAGCUAUGAAUCUUCCAAAACCAGCAGUUCGCAGAGCGGUGGAGGCUGAGGCUGUGGCAGAAUCACCUAGACCUCCUGGAGUAGAGGACACAGGGCAGUGAAGACCUAACCCUGAGCUCUGGAUGGAGUGAGAGACAAAAGCAGGUUGAAAAUUUCUAUUUGAAGUUGGAUCAAAGAAAAAUAUGAAGGGAGAGAUGAUGAUAAAGAAUGAAAACAGGACCCUCCUUCAACCACUGAAAUGGGAACACUGUGCUUUCUCUGAGCAGCAGUUAAAGCCCUGCAGAUGCUCCAGAAGGGGAACCUGCAGAUGCUCCAGAAGGGGAACCUGCAGAUGCUCCAGAAUGGGAACCUGCAGAUGCUUCAGAAGGGGAACCUGCAGUUGCUCCAGAAGGGGAACCUGCAGAUGCUCCAGAAGGGGAACCUGAAGAUGCUUCAGAAGGGGAACCUACAGAUGCUCCAGAAGGGGAAGUCUUUGUUUCCCAGGACUCACUCACAGCUUUGCCCACUGAAUUCUCCAGAAGGGGCAUUUAUGAGCUCUGAGGAAAGCUGAAUCCAGGCAGUUACCCAGACUAUGACUGUCUUAGUGUGCUCAAGCUGCUGUCACAAAACUCCAUGUACUGAGUGGCUCACAGUUCUGGAGGCUGGAAAGUCCAAGAGCAAACAGCAGAUCUGGUGUCUGGUGAGGGCUACUUCCUGGUUUGUGCAUGGUCUUCUCAUUGUAUCCUCACAUGGCAGAGAACAGAGAGAGGAAAAACCCUCACAUUUCUUAUAAGAUCACUCAUCCCAUCACAAGGGCCCCACCCUUAUGACCUAAUGAUCUCCCAAGGCCCCAUCUCCAAAUACCAGCAGCUUUGGAGUCAGGGUUGCAACAUAUGAAAUUUGGGGCACAAAAACAUUCAGUCUAUAGCAAUGACUGAGUCUUUUUCUAACAGUGGCAGUAGUCUUUUUUUUUACACAGCUAAUUUUGUGCUUGUUUUUCAGUUCUUUACACAUUAAUAGCAUAUCGUUUAGAAAUUCAUAUAUAUAUUUAAAGACCUUGAUAUGCCACCCUUUGAGUUACAACUGGGACAGUUGGGAGAGGGGAAAGUGUUCGAGUGGGAUGAAGAGCUAGGAGAGGCUCCAUGGCCGGAGGCCUGGUCCACUUCGUUUUUGUACCGGAAGGGCUCAUCGCCAGUUUAAUUGAGAAGAUAUGUGCAGAUGAGGACUUCUGUCACCAGAAAUUAGUAUGUUGGAGUUAACACUAAAAAGAAAAACAAAGGAACAAGUGAUUCUCCUGAUGGAGGAUGGAAAGGAAAGGUGUCACGGAGUACUUCUAAGAUAAUGGUAAAGAUCUAUCUGAGGCUGGGCAUGGGGGCUCAUACCUGUAAUCUUGGCACUUGGGAAGCCAAGGGGGGCAGGCCAGGAG
RNAcentral lists this long non-coding RNA (2694 nucleotides) under Homo sapiens (human). RNAcentral's name for it is "HSALNT0378718". The record is from RNAcentral. Lineage: Eukaryota; Metazoa; Chordata; Mammalia; Primates; Hominidae.